This is an RNA transcript of Lagopus muta (rock ptarmigan), 4614 nucleotides long. RefSeq lists it as uncharacterized. NCBI's taxonomy places the organism in Eukaryota, Metazoa, Chordata, Aves, Galliformes, Phasianidae. The record is from RefSeq and is a predicted model, not a curated record. The transcript has 2 exons.
GGCGGUGGGUGCUGACCUGUCUGGGAUUUUGAUGCCGAGGCGGAACAUCUCUGCCUGGAAGGUCUGCAUGUCCUGGCAGAGCGGGCAGCGGAAGUGGUGCAGGGCAGCGCUCAGAGCUUGGGCCUGGGGAAGGCAGAAGAUGAGCUGGGGGCCCGUGCGCAUUGCCCCAGGGUUGGGGACGAUGCCAGGGUGGCAGGGUUGGGUGGUGCUGGGGAUGGUGCUGUGGUCUGGAGGCAAUGCCGCCUACCUGGAUGCACUGGCGGUGGAACUGAGCGCCGGUGCAGGAGGGACAGACCAGGGUGGUGUAGGUGGGGCGUCCCUCCACCGCCUCCAAGCAGACGGCACACUGCGGGUUCUCCUGUUGCAGUGGCCUCACCUGCUGGGUCGGCCGGUGCUGCCAGCAGAAGGACCUGCAGGAUGGAUGGAGGUGGCAGCUCAGCUCCUGCCCCAUCCAUCCUGCAGCCCCGCGGGUGCCUGCACUCACCUGUAUUCUCCGAAAAACUGGGAGAUGCAGCCGCGUUCUCUUCCGCAGGGGAAGUGGAAGGUGCGGGAGCAUCUGCGGUGAUGGCAGCGGACCGAGGCGCCCUGGUUCUGGCAGACGCAGCAUUUCUGGGGACAGCAGUGCGGUGCUGGGCGUCAGUGCCGUGCACACACAGCAGUGGGAGAGCAGCUGUUCUGUCCUGGAUAGCUCCAGCAGUGCCUGCACGCGGAAGUGCUCCGGCUGCAGAGGGAGCUGCUCGUAGCUCCCUCUUGUUCUUGGUGACCAGGCUGCAGGGAGAAGAGCGCCGUUGCGGCAAUGGGGUGCCGCAGGGAGGAAGUCCGGAAGGCGAAAGCCCGUCUUGAACUUGGAUUGGCCACUGCAGUAAAGGAGAAUAAGAAAUCCUUCUACAAAUACACCAAUGGCAAGAGAAAAACCAAGGGUAAUGUCUGUCCUUUAAUUGAUGCGGCAGGGAACGUGACCACAGAUGACAAGGAGAAGGCUGAGGUCCUCAGCGCCUUCUUUACAUCUGCCUUUAAUAGUCAGAGCAGCUAUCUUCGGGGCACUUUGUGCCCUGAUCUGGAUAUCUGGGCUGAUACGCAGCAUGUCUCCCCGGAGAUUGAGGUGGAGGCCGUUAGGGAGCUCCUCCUCCAUCUGGACAGUCACAAGUCCAUGGGAGCGGAUGGGCUUCAUCCUAGGGUGCUGAGGGAGUUGGCUGGGGUGAUUGCUGAGCCGCUCUCGGCUAUCUGCCAGCGCUCCUGGUUGACUGGAGAGGUUCCAGAGGAUUGGAGGCUUGCUGGUGUGACGCCCAUCUACAAGAAGGGCCGUAAGGAGGAUCCGGGAAAGCACAGGCCUGUCAGCCUGACCUCAGCGCCAGGGAAGGUGAUGGAACAAAUCCUCCUGGGAGAGAUCACACGGCUCGCCAGCAUGGGUUCAUGAAAGGCAGGUCGUGUUCGACCAACCUCAUCUCCUUCUACGACUGGGUGAGCAGACUGGUAGAUGGGGGAAAGGCUGUUGAUGCAUCUACUUAGACUUCAGCAAAGCCUUUGACACGGUCUCUCACAGUGUCCUUCUGCGGAAACUGGCUGCCCGUGGCUUGGACAGUUUUACCCUCCGUUGGAUAAGGAACUGGCUGGAGGGCCGUGCUCAACGGGUGGUGGUCAAUGCAGUGAAGUCCAGCUGGAGACCUGUUUCACGUGGUGUCCCCCAGGGGUCGGUGCUGGGGCCCAUCCUGUUUAAUAUCUUCAUUGACGACUUAGAUGAAGGGACUGAGUGCACCCUGAGUAAGUCUGCAGAUGACACCAAGCUGGGAGGUGGUGUCGAUCUGCCUGAGGGCAGGGAGGCCCUGCAGAGGGAUCUGGAUCAGCUGGAUCGCUGGGCCGAGGUGAAUGGGGUGAGGUUUAACAAGGCCGAGUGUCGGGUCCUGCACUUUGGCCACAGCAAUGCCAUGCAGCGCUACAGGCUUGGGGAUGAGUGGCUGGAUGAGUGUGAGGAGGAAAGGGACCUGGGCUGAACAUGAGCCGACAGUGUGCCCGGGUGGCCAGGAGGGCCGACGGCAUCCUGGCCUGCAUUGGAAAUGGUGUGGCCAGCAGGAGCAGGGAGGUGAUGAGCAUCCCCCUGUACUCUGCACUGGUGAGGCCGCACCUCGAGUGCUGUGCUGUUUUGGGCCCCUCACUACAAGAAAGACAUGGAGGCCCUGGAACGUGUGCAGAGAAGGGCAACGAAAUGGUGAGGGGUCUGGAGCACAAACCUUACGAGGAGCGGCUGAGGGAGCUGGGAUUGUUCAGUGUGGAGAAGAGGAGGCUCAGGGGAGACCUCAGUGCACUGUGCAACUGCAUGAAGGGAGGCUGUGGUGCAAAAGGUUCUGGCCUCUUCUCCCAGGCAAAUAGUAGGAGCCGAGGAAAGGGCCACAAGUUGUACCAGAGGAGGUUGAGGUUGGACAUGAGGAGAAACUUCUCUCAGAGGGUGGUCAGGCACUGGAGUGGCUGCCCAGGGAGGUGGUGGAGUCGCCAUCCCUGGCAGUGUUCAAGGGGCGCCUGGAUGAGGAGCUACGAGAGAUGGUUUAGUAGCUUGUGGUACUGAUAGGAACGGGAGGGGGGUUGGACCAGAUGAUCUUGCAGGUCGUUUCCAACCUUGCGAUUCUGUGAUUCUGUAACCUCUCCCCCCCACACAUGCUCACGCCCGUUGGCAGAGUGUGCAGCAGAAGCGCUGCAGGGCAGCUCAGCUGAUGCGGCACACAGGAGGAUAGCGUCGGUGCAGCCCCAGGCGGUCCUGGCCCAGCAGGCAGCCAAAGGAGCCAGCACCACCAGAGCGACAGCUUCCUGCAGGAGGGAACCGGGAUCCUGCAGCUGCAUCCAGGAGCAUUGGUGGAACAGCAUUGGGGCUGGGAGCCAAGGCCUGGGCAGCCAGCAGGCAGUGCUCGUGAAUGCAGAGCCUGUCCUGCCAGCACGCCUCUCGGGUCCCUGGUCUGCCCUCUGGCACAGCCCACGUCCUGCCACUGCCACUGGAUGGUAGCAUCGCUACCCGCUGCUGUGCUGCAGGGUAACGCCAGCACACGGCAGAGGCACAUGGCCUUUGCGAGUCCUCUGUGCUCCCCUUCUUCCUCACCAACACGCUGCUUCGUGUCUGCAGGGUGCAGGCAGGGAGCUGCAGCCACCUGGGGCCUCAGCUCCGUCCACGGCAUGCUCAUCUGGAGCCAAGUGCCCCUGGAGCCAAGUGCCAUCCGUACCCGGGGUAGCAGGACUGGAGCUGGGUGGCUGCAGGGCUCUGCUCUGUACCAGGCCUGCCCCCAGCUCUCCUUCCAUUUCUGUCUCGCAGCAGCAUUGCUGGGCAGGGGGUUUCAUGGGACAAAGACCAUGAAGAGUGCAUCGCACUGAGAGAAAUAUGCGGUUGACCUUGAGAAAUGCUGCUGCCCCCUUCCCUCCUCUCGAGCUGUGGCCUGCUGGGACGAGGCUUGUCUUGCUGCGUCAUAGGAUCCUAGAACGGCCUGGGUUGGAAGGGACCUCAACAGCCAUUAAGCUCCUCCCCCCCUGCUGCAGGCAGGGCCACCAACCUCCGUAUCUAAUCCGUAUAGAAACAUACAUCUGUAUAUACCUAUACGCAGGCUGCCCAGGGCCCCACUCAACUUGGCCCUGAACACCUCCAGGGACGGGGGAUGCACAGCCUCUGUGGGCAGCCUGUUCCAGCUCCUCCCCGCUCUCAUAGUCAAGAGCAUCCCUGACGUCCAACCUGAACCUUCCCUCCUUCAACUUCAAACCAUUCCCCCCUGUCCUGCUGUUACCUCCCCUUUCAAAGAGUUGACUCCUCCCUCUCCUGUUGGCAGGCUCCCUUCAGGUGCUGGAAAGCUGUCCUGAGGUCACCCCUCAGCCCUCUCUUCUCCAGGCCCAACAAGCCCAGCUCCCUCAGCCUGGAGGGCUUCGUAGGGGAGCUGCUCCAGCCCCCUGAUCAUCUCUGUGGCUCUCCUCUGGACCCUCUCCAACAGCUCCCUGUCUUUCCUGUACUGGGGGCUCCAGACCUGCACACAGUACUGCAGAUGACCAUCACCUCCCUGUCCCUGCUGCCACCCCCCUCGUGAUGGAGCCCAAGACAGCUUUUGCUUUCCAAGCUGCAGAGCACGCUGCUGGCUCCCGUUCCGUUUGUAAUCCACCAGGGCCCCCAGGUCCCUCCGUGCCCGGCUGUCCCAAAGGACUUCUCCUCCCAGUCUGCACCUACGCCUGGGAUUCCUCCAGCCCUACUGCAAAACCCUGCACUGUGCUGCGUCGAACCUCCCUACAUUGGCCUGGGCCCACCAUUCCAGCCUGUCGAGGUCCUUCCAGGCUGGCUGCCUGUCCCUCUCUAAGAGCACCCGCCCCGCAGACAGCACCGCGGUAGGAGCCUCACGGUGGGCCACGGACGACUGGCAUUUCAUCUCGCAAGGGCUAUCGGGGAAGCAGAAAAGACUUCUUCGCGUGUAUCGACAGCACACAGAAAAGCAGCGAAGACGCGGGCCUGCGGGGCGAUGGGGCCGGCCGCGCUAACGAAGCAUUCGGAGAAGGCCGAGCGAGCGCAGGGCUGCGCAGCGGGGAAGGGGCGGCGCGGCGCUCUGUGCGGCCGGACGAGAAGAGCGGCGCGGCCCGCGCGAAAUGGCGGCGUGCCCG